Molecule: ribosomal RNA, 493 nt
Filed under: uncultured bacterium
Lineage: Bacteria
Description: partial 16S ribosomal RNA
Rfam family: Bacterial small subunit ribosomal RNA
Source: RNAcentral
AUUGAACGCUGGCGGCAUGCUUUACACAUGCAAGUCGAACGGUAACAGGUUAAGCCGACGAGUGGCGAACGGGUGAGUAAUGCAUCGGAACGUGCCCGGUCGUGGGGGAUAACGCAGCGAAAGCUGCGCUAAUACCGCAUACGAUCUGAGGAUGAAAGCGGGGGACCGUAAGGCCUCGCGCGAUCGGAGCGGCCGAUGUCAGAUUAGGUAGUUGGUGGGGUAAAGGCUCACCAAGCCAACGAUCUGUAGCUGGUCUGAGAGGACGACCAGCCACACUGGGACUGAGACACGGCGCAGACUCCUACGGGAGGCAGCAGUGGGGAAUUUUGGACAAUGGGCGAAAGCCUGAUCCAGCAAUGCCGCGUGCAGGAAGAAGGCCUUCGGGUUGUAAACUGCUUUUGUACGGAGCGAAAAGGUCUCCUCUAAUACAGGGGGCUCAUGACGGUACCGUAAGAAUAAGCACCGGCUAACUACGUGCCAGCCGCCGCAGUAA